UUUAGUUCUAGUUUUUCUUGCGAUACUGAGAUUGAUUCGUUGUAACUGUGGCGACAAAUCCUUGUACAGUGAUCCAGGGCCCCCGUUCUUGAUCUCCUCCACUGUGUCAAUUAGUCCUUUGGAAUUGAGUUCUUGAACCCCUACUUUACCUUCGCUUCAUUCAUACUUGCAAUUUUAGAUUGCAUGUUUAUACUUUCUUGCUUGUGUUCUUCGAUUUGCUUGUAGGAAAAGCCUUCUUGGCGAGGGCAAUCAAGUUGUGCUUGGUUGAUAACUAACAGAGCGGUGGUGUAACGGUUGCAGGCUUCGAAUUCGUGUCUGAUCAGAAGCCGGAUUGCCAACGUCACGUACUCCACCAAUCGAAUUUACCCUACCUCUCGGAAGAUCGGGCCGCGUCUACACCAUGUUCUCCUUUUGAGCUUCGCUGUCUUUAUUAUUUUCCCUACUAAUAUCUUGGAUUGCCCGAACAAGAUCUGGUCGAGGAGUCCGAAAGGAAGUACUUGGACCUCCAAUCUGCAAAGGCAGUCUUUGUUGAAGAGCAUGAGAAAGUGGUCCGGGAGUUGAAAGAGUUGCAGGAUCGCCAUCAAGAGGAGCUAAAGAAGAGAUCCAAGAGUGGCAUCUUGCUGAACUCCAGAAGCUCCAGGACACCAAGCGCAAGUUCCUGAAGGAGCAGAAAGAUGCCAACAAGGUGCUGUAGAAGAAGCUGAAGGAUGCUGAUCUUCAGAUGGUGGAGUCCAUGAAGAAGAUUUAGGAACUAUCAGCUGAAGUCAAGGACCUCAGGAAGAUCCGGUAUGCGGCUGGGAGUCUGAUUGAUUUGGUCGAUCCUGUUACUGAGGACUCGGCGGUGGAGCGGUCCCUUUUGCAGGAGGCUCCUAGAGAGAUGUCGGCAUACAUGACGGAGACCACGAAGUCGUAUGUCUCGAUUGCAUUCGGUUGCUGAAGUCCUGAUACGACGAGAUUGACUUGCAGUUGCUCACCGGUGGGAUGGCAGCUGACUGCUCGGACGAGCGCUUCGAGGAAUACUUGAAGGAAGCCUGGUCUUUUGCUAAAAAAAUGUAGAUGAUAUUGAACAACAAGAGUAGGUCCUGUAUUGUACUAAACCAUUUCCUUGCUUUUAGUUGUUUUCGUCUCCAAAAAUUGUUGGCUGGUUUCUCUUUUGGUUUGAGAGUAGGUCCGGUACAUUUACUCGUGGGUCAUGCUUAGAGUAACUGCUUUUGUAACUUAUCGGUUGUGUGGCGCGUCGUGUACUUGGUUCGUGAUAAGUACUCGGAGCCUACCUGAUAGGGGUAGUAUUGGUAUUUCAACAA
Molecule: long non-coding RNA, 1304 nt
Organism: Panicum virgatum (switchgrass)
Lineage: Eukaryota; Viridiplantae; Streptophyta; Magnoliopsida; Poales; Poaceae
Exons: 2
Source: RefSeq, a predicted model, not a curated record